UUGAAAGUCAAAAUGUUGUAAGCGCCAAAAUCUGGGAAAAUUGGUUUUUGAGUCCAGCUGAUAGAUAUGUGCUUGUUUUACGUCCCAGCAAAGUGUUGUAACCAUCUAAUUCAUUUUAAGGGAGAAAAAGAAGAAUAAAGUUUGUUGUAACUGCCAAUAUUGCAAGUCUUUGAAAGUCAAAAUGUUGUAUGAGCUAGAAACUGAAAGACAGAAUGUUGUAUCGUCAUCCAAGAACAUUUUGUACUGGAUCCAGUUUUCAAUCUCUGCUAGCCAGAAUGUUGUAUAAGCCACCAGUCACAUGGUUCUAGGUUAUGUUUCAGUGGAAGUUGAAGCGUGAUUCUUGUUUCAUUGGUCUGUGUAGCGUGAUUUGCUGUGUAUUUUUGUUGUUUGAAAUUGAAUUAUCCAGGAAAACUUAUCAAGAGAAUGAGUUUGUAAACUGUUUCAUCAUUUCUUUGAGAGGUUGGAAAAAAUGACAAGUAGAGCUGCUAUGUUGGUUGAAUUGGCCAAGGAAUCUAAUACCAGUACUACAGAAUUUGCCAGUUUAAAAAAGGAGAUGAAAAUGUCUAUCUAAGAAAUAGCUAUGAUGAAGAUGAAGAAACAAGGAAAAUAUCAAUGCUUUGUAGAAGGAGCAAGACUGAAGUAACAUCAAAAACCCAACUGUACAAUGAUAAGCUUCCAAUAAAUGAGAGAAAAUAUAAAAACUUAACAGAUUUGUGUAAAAAUGGAAUCAUCCCUGAAAGAUUCCAUACUGAAUACUUCCAGAUCCCUCA
Nilaparvata lugens (brown planthopper) is the source of this 770-nucleotide long non-coding RNA. RefSeq lists it as uncharacterized. The transcript has 2 exons. Lineage: Eukaryota; Metazoa; Arthropoda; Insecta; Hemiptera; Delphacidae. The record is from RefSeq and is a predicted model, not a curated record.